RNAcentral lists this ribosomal RNA (498 nucleotides) under uncultured bacterium. RNAcentral's name for it is "partial 16S ribosomal RNA". It matches the Rfam family "Bacterial small subunit ribosomal RNA", at positions 28 to 507 of the family's 1533-position model. The record is from RNAcentral.
GACGAACGCUGGCGGCGUGCCUAAUACAUGCAAGUCGAACGAGAGCAGCCGGUGCUUGCCCUGGUCAAUCUAGUGGCGAACGGGUGAGUAACACGUGGGUAACCUGCCCAUCAGAGGGGGAUAACAUCCGGAAACGGAUGCUAACACCGCAUAGGUCUUCGAACCGCAUGGUUUGAAGAGGAAAAGAGGCGCAAGCUUCUGCUGAUGGAUGGACCCGCGGUGCAUUAGCUAGUUGGUGCGGUAACGGCUCACCAAGGCCGUGAUGCAUAGCCGACCUGAGAGGGUGAUCGGCCACAUUGGGACUGAGACACGGCCCAAACUCCUACGGGAGGCAGCAGUAGGGAAUCUUCCGCAAUGGGCGCAAGUCUGACGGAGCAACGCCGCGUGAGUGAAGAAGGUUUUCGGAUCGUAAAACUCUGUUGUUAGAGAAGAACAAGUGCUAGAGUAACUGUUAGCGCCUUGACGGUAGCUAACCAGAAAGCCACGGCUAACUACGUG